CUAGAAGACCUCCAAGGUCCCUUCCAAACUUUAUUAUGAUUGAUUGAGAUGGUGGGAAAAUUGUACCUUCGGGUUUGCAACAUUCCCUUAAUGUAGCUUUACAAUAAAGUAGACUGAGCGUAUCUGGCUUUUGUUUCCUGUCUGAUCCACCUUGGGAAGGAAGACAGAGUAAAACAAGGACGUUUUUAAAAAUAAAAACAAAAGUUAUUGUCUAUCUUCCUAUUUUAGCACGGAUGUUCCCAGCUGCCUGCCUCUUCCAACAGAAGUCACCCCUUCCGAAGAGCCACACCCAGCUCAAGAGACCACCAACACCAAUGGUUGUGGUCGGCAGAAGCACAGCUUGGAAGCCACGACACACAAAUCAUGCAGUCCGUCUUGGGAUGCUGAAUCUCCCCCACCUCCCUCCAAGGGAAAGAAAAAGAAGAAAAAAUCAACAAGAAAGAAAAGGAGGAGAUCUCCAUCCUACAGUAUUUCUCCUCCAAAGAAGAAGAAGAAAAAGAAGAACUCAAAGAAAAGAAAAAGAAACAGGAUUUCUUCAAAGAAGAAAAGUCACAGUUCUUCCAGCCCCAAGAGAAAAAGGAAGGAGGGAAGAAAACACAAGAAGCACUAUCGUAGUCAUCCACAAAAAUCCAGGCGCCGUCAUUGCCAUUCUAAUUCGGACAGCAGCACCAAUUCUCCAUCGGAGAGUUAUGGAAGCCGGCAUAGGCUGAGAAGCAGAUUCCAAGACGAAAGCCAUAAAGGUAGACCCAGCCGUUCAAGGCACUCAUCGAA
RNAcentral lists this long non-coding RNA (771 nucleotides) under Laticauda laticaudata (blue-ringed sea krait). RNAcentral describes it as "lncRNA (ENSLLTG00000011708.1)". Lineage: Eukaryota; Metazoa; Chordata; Lepidosauria; Squamata; Elapidae. The record is from RNAcentral.